AGUGAGGCUAUGAAGACUCGGGCAGCAAUCUCAUGACCAGUUGUUUGAAAUUGGCAAACUCUUGCCUUAAAUCGUUGUAUUCCUGGUCACGUCUUUCUAGUCGAUGCGUGAGUUGGAAAACGGUGUCAUUAGCAUUGGUGGAAGAAGAUGGUUGGUGCUUAAGACUACCUAUUCCCACCAUGUAAUUUACAACAAGUUGUCAUGCCCC
RNAcentral lists this long non-coding RNA (208 nucleotides) under Vigna radiata. RNAcentral describes it as "long non-coding RNA (VRAD_LNC005002)". Lineage: Eukaryota; Viridiplantae; Streptophyta; Magnoliopsida; Fabales; Fabaceae. The record is from RNAcentral.